CCUACGGGAGGCAGUAGUGAGGAAUAUUGGUCAAUGGGCGAGAGCCUGAACCAGCCAAGUCGCGUGAAGGAUGAAGGAUCUCUGGUUUGUAAACAUCUUUUAUAUGGGAGUAGAGUGAGGAACGUGUUCCUUUUUGUAUGUACCAUAUGAAUAAGCAUCGGCUAACUCCGUGCCAGCAGCCGCGGUACUACGGAGGAUGCGAGCGUUAUCCGGAUUUAUUGGGUUUAAAGGGUGCGUAGGUGGUUAGUUAAGUCAGCUGUGAAAGUUUGUGGCUCAACCAUAAAACUGCCGUUGAUACUGGUUGACUUGAGUAUAUUAGAGGGAGGCAGAAUGCGUGGUGUAGCGGUGAAAUGCAUAGAGAUCAGGCAGAAUUCCGAUGGCGAAGGCAGCCUACUAAACGAUAACUGACACUGAAGUGCGAAAGCGUGGGGAUCAAACAGGAUUAGAUACCCUGGUAGUC
Molecule: ribosomal RNA, 460 nt
Filed under: uncultured bacterium
Lineage: Bacteria
Description: partial 16S ribosomal RNA
Rfam family: Bacterial small subunit ribosomal RNA
Source: RNAcentral